GUGAUCAAGCUCUAUGUGACUAGUGAAAACCGUAUCCCAAUAUUUGUUAAUUAUAUUACAUUCCUAUUUAAAUUUCGAUCAAAUCAAAUGGUAAUUUUGUUAUGCCUGCUGCCAAAUCCAAAAACUCUUAGCAACUUGUCACUUAGAGAUUCCAUCAUGCUUUUCUAUUGCUCAUUAGGAGCUCGUUAAACUAAAAUCGAAAAGGAUGCUGACUUGUAAUCUUCUUGUCAUUUCCACU
Long non-coding RNA from Daphnia magna, 238 nucleotides. RefSeq lists it as uncharacterized. The record is from RefSeq and is a predicted model, not a curated record. The transcript is spliced from 3 exons. Lineage: Eukaryota; Metazoa; Arthropoda; Branchiopoda; Diplostraca; Daphniidae.